GACGAACGCUUGCGACGUGCCUGAGAAAUGCAAGUCGAGCGGGCAGAGUUCUUUCGGGGACUUUGUUAGCGGCGAACGGUCGAGUAACACGUAACCAACCUGCCCUUAGGUCUGGGAUAGCCCUUCGAAAGAGGGAGUAAUACCGGAUAGUCUCCUGAUGUGACAUCGUAUUGGGAGUAAAGGCUAGUACGCCAAAGGAGGGGGUUGCGUCCUAUCAGCUGGUUGGCGGGGUAACGGCCCACCAAGGCGACGACGGGUAGCUGGUCUGAGAGGAUGAUCAGCCGGAUUGGGACUGAGACACGGCCCAGACUCCUACGGGAGGCAGCAGUGGGGAAUAUUGGACAAUGGCGCAAGCCUGAUCCAGCAAUGCCGCGUGAGUGAUGAAGGCCUUAGGGUGUAAAGCUCUUUCGGCGGGGACGAUGAUGACGGUACCCGCAGAAGAAGCCCCGGCUAACUUCGUGCCA
Molecule: ribosomal RNA, 464 nt
Filed under: uncultured bacterium
Lineage: Bacteria
Description: bacterial SSU rRNA
Rfam family: Bacterial small subunit ribosomal RNA
Source: RNAcentral